GAGAGGGAUGAUCCANCCACACCUNGGGANUGAGACACGGCCCAGACUCCUACCGGGAGGCAGCAGUGGGGGAAUAUUNGGACAAUGGGCGCAAGCNUGAUCCAGCCAUGCCGCGUGAGUGAUGAAGGCCUUAGGGUUGUAAAGCUCUUUUAUCCGGGACGAUAAUGACGGUACCGGAGGAAUAAGCCCCGGCUAACUUCGUGCCAGCAGCCGCGGUAAUACGAAGGGGGCUAGCGUUGCUCGGAAUCACUGGGCGUAAAGGGCNCNUNGNCGGCGUUUUAAGUCGGGGGUGAAAGCCUGUGGCUCAACCACAGAAUGGCCUUCGAUACUGGGACGCUUGAGUAUGGUAGAGGUUGGUGGAACUGCGAGUGUAGAGGUGAAAUUCGUAGAUAUUCGCAAGAACACCGGUGGGGAAGGCGGCCAACUGG
Molecule: ribosomal RNA, 428 nt
Filed under: Methylobacterium sp. A-Se-D-7-1
Lineage: Bacteria; Pseudomonadati; Pseudomonadota; Alphaproteobacteria; Hyphomicrobiales; Methylobacteriaceae
Description: partial 16S rRNA
Rfam family: Bacterial small subunit ribosomal RNA
Source: RNAcentral